CCGACACAGGAAAGAAAUGUUGCUCAAAUUAAUUAUAACCUUUUCGAUUUUAUUAUUGGCAAACUAAUUCGCAUGUUAUGACAAUAUUGUGAAAGUUUUAUUAAGAGAAUUUUCUUAUAAAAUGAUAUUUAUUGAUUUAUUCUUUGUGAUGAAAGUGGCGGAGUUUGAAAAUACUUUUGCUGAUUGCAUCUCAGUAUAAAAUCAUUAAACGCGAGAAAAAAAAUUCGAGCUCGAAAGACUCAAAUCUAACAGAAUUUAGCAACUCAUAAUUAAGAGGAAAAAUGUUUUUUUAUUGAGACAGGUUAAAUUAAUUCGCAAAGUCAGCAGCAUUUCGAAGUAUCAAAUAUCGAAGAUUCCAUAACAUUAUAUUGUUGGUCUUAACUCAAAUCUACGAUUUGAAUGACCCCCCAAAAAAAGUCUAGGGGAUCAUGUCUAGGAAACAAUAUAGGUCCUCGACAUACUAUCCACCUUCUGGGAAAUGUGGCGUCGAGAUAUUGACGGACAUUGAAUUCAAUUGAGUGGCCACCAUGCUCCUCAAACUUGACUCCCUCAGACUUUUUUAGUGGAGUAAUUCAAAAUCGCAGGUUUAUAUUGAUCAAAUAAUUCAGGAAAGUUACGGCAAAGGUUUCGCGCUGAAGUGGAGAGCCCAAUUUGAACAUUUACGCUGCUUAAUUUCGAUUGUCGAAGUUUAAUUUUUGAAUAUCACAGUGAAUGUGUUAAUUUCUCAAAGCAAUUUUUAUCUACGUUGUGACAGUAAUUUGGCGGAUGCGAGUUUCGAAAAAUAAAUUACAUUAUUUCAAAGAUUCCUGCGUAGGCUUCCCACAAUACAUGUUUUCUUUUUUUUUUUGCGAAGUAGUUUGAUGCGCCAUGUGCUCGAAAAUUUGGUUCAUGCUCUCUCAUUCUUAUGGUAGAACGAUUGCGUUUAGCACAGCGAAACAAAAAUUGAAAUUUUUCAAUCAGAUAUCAGAUGCUGGAUUAUAGUUUCAAAUUGUGUUUAUUGCUAUUUUCACUUUUCUUUAUGGUUUUGGUAUUUUGGGAAGAAAUUGUGAAAUUUCCGUCUAAACGGGAUCAAAUAGCAUCGUUCAACAAAGUUUCUUAAAAGCCACAUAACAUCCAAGGCUUCUUCUCUUCCGUUACAAUAUUGUUGAAGUCAGCACAGAAUACAGGCUUUUUAUCAACCACUCCCACUCUUGGAACAACCUUUUCCUGAGCUAAGGGAAUCAUCCCUUAUUGGAGUCAACUGGGACUGCGAGAAUCUGGAUGAGUAAAACUGAACUAUUAAUUUUCACCAAUAUAUGACUUAUAUGAAACAUCCUACUUUACUGAGACAUUUUUGUUUAUUUUCCAAUGUAUAUGAAUGCCGGCAAUCAUACAGUUUAAACCCUUCAGGGAUCGAAUUAAGAAUCAAUUGAACACGUAACAACGUUACCAAUUUAUUUACUCACUCCAUGGUUCUACAACUCGGGAUGGAUCUUGGCCGACUGUAUCUAUUCGCCUUCACUUUUGCCGAUCUUCCAUCAGUGCUGGGUGUUAUUCUAACCCCAUUCGCCUGUGAAUGGAAAUGGGUAAAAUGAGUAGCUAAAAGAAGGAGGGUUGAGCGAGUGGUUAACAACACUUCCUCCUAGAGAAAUCAUUGUUACGAAAAACGAACAACGGUUUCUAUUUUUCUCUGGAAAACUGAAUUACGUCAUAAGUAAAAUUUUAUUUCAUAAGUUGCUUAAUUAUAAAUUAAAAUUGACGUGUCCGUGCUUUUUUGCUUGUGCCAGGAGAAAAUAAUUUCUCUAUGGUUCAUCAACUCUGUGAUUAUGUUGUCCUACCUAUAUCAAGUGCUUUAGAUUUUUCUUUUCCUUUUAUGUAUUCUCUGAAUAAACUCUUAAGUCAAAU
Molecule: long non-coding RNA, 1884 nt
Organism: Harmonia axyridis
Lineage: Eukaryota; Metazoa; Arthropoda; Insecta; Coleoptera; Coccinellidae
Exons: 3
Source: RefSeq, a predicted model, not a curated record